AUGCAUGUAUGUGUGCGUGUGUGCAUGCAUGCGCGUAUGUACACGUGCACAUGUAUGUAUG
RNAcentral lists this microRNA precursor (61 nucleotides) under Loxodonta africana (African savanna elephant). RNAcentral's name for it is "miRNA (ENSLAFG00000026279.1)". Lineage: Eukaryota; Metazoa; Chordata; Mammalia; Proboscidea; Elephantidae. The record is from RNAcentral.